AAGAGAUCGGGAUAACACCUGGAAACAGAUGCUAAUACCGGAUAACAACAGAUGAUGCCUAUCAACUGUUUAAAAGAUGGUUCUGCUAUCACUCUUGGAUGGACCUGCAGUGCAUUAGCUAGUUGGUAGGGUAACGGCCUACCAAGGCGAUGAUGCAUAGCCGAGUUGAGAGACUGAUCGGCCACAUUGGGACUGAGACACGGCCCAAACUCCUACGGGAGGCAGCAGUA
RNAcentral lists this ribosomal RNA (230 nucleotides) under uncultured Lactobacillus sp. RNAcentral's name for it is "partial 16S ribosomal RNA". It matches the Rfam family "Bacterial small subunit ribosomal RNA", at positions 132 to 355 of the family's 1533-position model. The record is from RNAcentral. Lineage: Bacteria; Bacillati; Bacillota; Bacilli; Lactobacillales; Lactobacillaceae.